CUUACUAGAUGAAACUGGUUUUCAUAGUGGUUUCGUAAAUAUUUUAAUUGUGAGAUCACUGUGAAAACUAAUUUUGUCGA
Molecule: microRNA precursor, 80 nt
Filed under: Lottia gigantea (owl limpet)
Lineage: Eukaryota; Metazoa; Mollusca; Gastropoda; Lottiidae
Description: bantam microRNA precursor family
Rfam family: bantam microRNA precursor family
Source: Rfam by way of RNAcentral